This 135-nucleotide small nucleolar RNA is filed under the name Mus caroli (Ryukyu mouse). Its description in RNAcentral is "predicted gene, 25369 (MGP_CAROLIEiJ_G0035769.1)". It matches the Rfam family "U8 small nucleolar RNA". Rfam says of the family: U8 is a member of the C/D class of snoRNA which contain the C (UGAUGA) and D (CUGA) box motifs. U8 is the RNA component of a small complex (the U8 snoRNP) which is required for accumulation of mature large subunit ribosomal RNAs, 5.8S and 28S rRNAs. U8 RNA has been identified in human, mouse, rat and Xenopus. The record is from RNAcentral. Lineage: Eukaryota; Metazoa; Chordata; Mammalia; Rodentia; Muridae.
ACAUUAUAUGGGACAAUCUUUACAUGUUCUUCUUUUGCGAAGGUGGAUUAGAGCAAACUGCUUAGGGUUGCCUUAGCCUGUGAUUAUGACUCUGGGUAAUCAGGACUUAGAACAUCCUGAUUUCUCUUACCUGAU